AGAGAUGUGGAGGAACACCAGUGGCGAAGGCGACUCUCUGGUCUGUAACUGACGCUGAGGAGCGAAAGCGUGGGGAGCGAACAGGAUUAGAUACCCUGGUAGUCCACGCCGUAAACGAUGAGUGCUAAGUGUUAGGGGGUUUCCGCCCCUUAGUGCUGCAGCUAACGCAUUAAGCACUCCGCCUGGGGAGUACGGUCGCAAGACUGAAACUCAAAGGAAUUGACGGGGGCCCGCACAAGCGGUGGAGCAUGUGGUUUAAUUCGAAGCAACGCGAAGAACCUUACCAGGUCUUGACAUCCUCUGACAAUCCUAGAGAUAGGACGUCCCCUUCGGGGGCAGAGUGACAGGUGGUGCAUGGUUGUCGUCAGCUCGUGUCGUGAGAUGUUGGGUUAAGUCCCGCAACGAGCGCAACCCUUGAUCUUAGUUGCCAGCAUUCAGUUGGGCACUCUAAGGUGACUGCCGGUGACAAACCGGAGGAAGGUGGGGAUGACGUCAAAUCAUCAUGCCCCUUAUGACCUGGGCUACACACGUGCUACAAUGGACAGAACAAAGGGCAGCGAAACCGCGAGGUUAAGCCAAUCCCACAAAUCUGUUCUCAGUUCGGAUCGCAGUCUGCAACUCGACUGCGUGAAGCUGGAAUCGCUAGUAAUCGCGGAUCAG
RNAcentral lists this ribosomal RNA (660 nucleotides) under Bacillus subtilis. RNAcentral describes it as "bacterial SSU rRNA". It matches the Rfam family "Bacterial small subunit ribosomal RNA", at positions 692 to 1352 of the family's 1533-position model. The record is from RNAcentral. Lineage: Bacteria; Bacillati; Bacillota; Bacilli; Caryophanales; Bacillaceae.